This is a non-coding RNA of Chlorocebus sabaeus (green monkey), 4771 nucleotides long. Lineage: Eukaryota; Metazoa; Chordata; Mammalia; Primates; Cercopithecidae. The record is from RefSeq and is a predicted model, not a curated record.
AGGGAUGAACAGAUGGAAGGGCGGAUGGAGGGAUGAACAGAUGGAAGGGCGGAUGGAGGGAUGAACAGAUGGAAGGACGGAUUAAUCAGUGAUGGAUGAAUGUGUGGAUGUGGACAGAUGGAUGAAUGCAUGGACAGAUAGGUAGUGGAGAGAUGGUACAGGGGAUUGGUAGAAAGUGAAAUAAGCACCUGGGUCAUCUCAGGCAUAUGGGCAAUGUGAGUCGCUUCUAGCAGAGACCGUGAUGGGACUCGCCUGGCUUUACAGAUGGAGCCUUGGCAUGCAUGGCACGAUGUCCACGUCCUCCACCAACUAGAAGACCAGUGAUUUGGCUCGGGUCGUUUUCUUGGUUCAGCCUUGUCAGCCCCAUGACUAUGGCGAGUCUUCUGCCCUCCUGGUCUUGAUUUCCCGUCUGGAUGAUGAGGAUUUACUGGAUGAGAUGGGCCUCUAUGGUGGAGUCUCCAGAUUUUCCUAGGAGGAGGGGCAGCACCCCUACCUCUCUCUUCUGCUCACAGGCCUUCCCUCACUCCAUUCCCAGGCUCAGCGCAGGCACCUGCCAUGCACCCUCUUCCCCACCAGUUUCUAAAUGUCUGGGCACGAAGCCAGCAGGAGAGAUGGGCCCUGGGGAAAGGGGAGCUGGCCCCUGCUGCAGGGUGGGCAGGCUGGGGGCCACUGUGGCUGCAGACAGCUGCUCAGCAGGCCCUUGGCAGGCUCCAGCUGAGUCAUCCUGAGUCACCACUGUCACCUCCUACCACACAUUCCUUCAUUCAUACAGUGUCUACCCCUGAGGCCACCUCCCUGAAAUCUCACUGGGCAGUUGCCAAGGGUGUGGAGGGCACUCAGGCCUGCCUGAUGGGCCCUUGGCAGGGAGAGAGGGCUGGGCAAGAUGACCUCCGGGAAGGUGUGGACGCCCUCUGAGUUCCUUCCAGACCGGGAGCUCUCUGACCUCACUGGGCUGGGUCCCCUACAGAUGGGAGGGCUAGGUGCCUGUCUCCUUGAGGGCCCUUAGCAGUCAUUCGGAGGAACACUGGGCCCCUCAGCUCACUGAGAUUCACUGGGAUGAGGAGACAAGAGUGACUCACCUGCCCCCCUUGCCUGUCUGCUCAGCAGCCACACCCAGGCUAGGCUCUCCUGCAGUGAACCAGGCCAGCUCUGGAGUGGGCAGCCCUGCUCUGUGUCUGUCCCAGCGCUUCCUUGCUGUGUGGUGUGGGGCAGGCCAUGUGUGGUGUGGGGCAGGCCAUGCACAGCUCCAGGCCUCCGUGUCCUCGUCUGUAGCCGGGGUGCCACCAGGCAAUGCCUCUGGUGACUUGUGUGGGCACCUGGUGCUCCUCUGUCCCUCCUGGGGCCAAGGGUGUCCUACAGGCCUUUGACCUGCAGGGCUCACCUCUGGCAGAUCCUGAGUCCUGGCGUCAGAUACCACCAGGAACACAAUUCUGGGUCUGGGAGGUGAGCCUCUCUCCAGCUGGAAGCCUGGGCUACACUAAGAGCUUAGGGACCCAGGGUGGUGACCCCUGAGUGCUGGGCUCCCAGGGGUGGGAAGAGAGAGGCCCGGGUAGUAGCCUGGUCCACCUGCAGUAGGUGCCAGGUAGGGCAGCUGCUGGGAACCCGGCACGGGGCCCAGGGCCAGGCUGGGGCUGGUGGUCUCAGGGUCCAUGAGGCCCAUACGUCAGCCUCUGAAUUUGCCAUGGCAGGAACUUGGGACACAAGAAGCCGGCACCACUGAACACCCUGUCCUUUUCAUUCAUUUCCUCUCCCACUAACCCUGGUCAAGCCUUCUGUGGCAGGCACCACUCUGCACUGAGGAUUUAUGUCAAUGAAAUUGACUUGGGUCCCUGUCCAAGGGGGUCUGCAUUCUACUGAGGGGAGACGGAAGACAGGCAGUAACCAUAGUCACAUGGCCUGGCCUGCUAUGGAGGCAAUCAGAACCGUGGGAAAGAGAAAGGAGAGUGAGGGAAGAGGGUGCUCUCUGAGAAGGGCUUUGGAUGGGAUCAGGAGGGGCAGGGUGAGCGGGGAUGGGGGGUGUCUGGAUGGCGCACCCCUCUGUGGAGCAGUAGGGAGGCCGGUAGAGGGGACCAAAUCUGGGAAGCGGUUGGAUCCUGCACAACUGCCCAGGGAGGCUGACAUGGCACCCGUUUUCUGGGAUGGCCCCAUGUGCUCUAGUGUGAUUCUUACAGGGCUCCCUUUUCCUCUCAAAGGACAGGUUAAUUGGUCCCACCCUUGCAUGACUUUUAAGGCCUUUGUCUUUCACUUGAAUGAAUUGGGGAGCAGGGGAAGGAUGGGUCCUACUCAGGCUGCUGAAAGGAUGCUGUGCCUGCCAGGUUAAGGAGGGACUGGGGGACGGGGUCAAGGGCGGAUUUAUGAUCUGUGAUCUUAAUAUCCAUUUUCUGAUACCCCUCAGCUCUGGGGACACAGAGAUGGGGCAGACAAGGUCUUCCCUAGAGAUUCCCUGAUGGAGGAAGGACACACAAAGGCUGAUAAACACCAUAAAGAACCUGCAGACUAAGGCCUCGGGAGCUUGAGGAGGGAGCAGCCAAGUUGGGGAGGAAAUCCAGGAAGUCUUCCUGAAGGAAGGGGUGUUUGAGGUGAAUCUUGAGGGCUGAGCAGCAGAUUCCCCAGGUCGAGAGUCAGAAAGAGGGGAAGGUAUUCCAGAUAGAAUGACAGAUGGCAAAGGCUCAGGCGUAGGAACAAAACACCAAGCCCUCCCACUUCAUUCAUUCAUUCAUCUACUCAUUCAUUCUCCACUUCCUUCUUGUAUGCACUGUUUACCUGGCACCAUGCUGGCCCUAGAGAAAUACUAACCCCACUCCUCACCCGCUCUGUGGCACUUGUCCAAGGAGGGGCUGGCUGUGGCCAGGAAGCCAUCCUGGUUUAGCAACCUGGCAAGCAUCCCUCCCUCCAUGAAACUCUGGAUCCCAACAAGGCUACAUUUGUUUUGUAUUUGAAAUUCCACUAAUUUUUUCGUGUCUUUGCAUUAAUGAUUCCUCUUUAAACAUCAAAGGGACCCGUAGGGCAUUUUGACUCCUAACCUUUUUGUAUGAGAAGCAGCUGAUCAUUAUCCCACGGCUCCAAUGAUAGGCUGCAGUCAGUUCAGAUUCCCAAGAUUACAAAAGGAAAUUCCGCUAAUUAUAGUUUGAUAGAAAUUAUAGUUCUGCCGAUUCCUGAUUGACAGGGUGGGCUGGCAGGAAUCACUGUGCUCUUUGAUAAGAUUUUAUGAAUCUCUCGCAGGAAUCUCACAAGUGCCUCAUUGCAGGAGAAGUUUCCUUCACGCCUCUCUCCCAUGAGGAACCUGCUCAUCUUAUCCCCGGAAUAAAUGGAGGGCCUGGAGUACGUGGGUGCAAGAACAGAGGCCUGGGAGUCAGGAAUCCUGGUGCCAAAGGACCAGGCAGGACCAGUGCCAGGAAAAGGACUGGAACAUGAACGGGCUGCUCGUUGAAGGUCACACAUUUGCAAUUUGAUGGAGACAGCAGGGGUCUUCACGUGCCAAGCAGAGUAGCUGUGUAGCAAUUCUGGGCACCACAGCAGCACAAAGAUCACACCACACAUCAGGCCCUCAGAACUUCAUUCUGAAUUUUGAAAUGCUUCAGCUUACUCUUCAGGAUGGGGCAGAGUCUUCUCCUCACAUCCCUUAUAUCUGGAGCCUCAGAGCUGGAUACAUUUGUUGGCUCUGCCCCAGGGGUCAACCAACAGUGACCAAGGCACAGAAGAAAGAGGUGAAGAUCUAAAUCUAGUCCCAGGAGGAUAUAGACCUAUCUACAAACAGAAGCAGCCUCCUAGGACUUUGCCUGCAUCUGCCUACAAGCAGGCUCCUCCACCAUGACAAUGAGCUACUUCCAGCCAUUUCCACGGACUCUGGAAGAAAUUGGCUUGAAGAAUAGCUGGACACACAUCCAGUCUCAGAGCCUAGAGGUGAAACACACCGACUCUGGAGUCAGAGAGACCUAGGUUUGAAUCCUAGUCCUACCACUUUCUCUCUCAUCCUUAUGUUAGUCACUUAACUUCUUUAGGUCUCCAUGUUGUCACAUGGAAAAUGGAACUUUCCACCUCCUCGGGAUGUUACGAUGACUGAUGUAACAAGCUCAGCACAGUGCCUGUACAGGGCCAGCAGCUUCUCUCUGAGCUGUUUCCUGAUGGAAGACCAACUCAACAGACUUGAACAAAAGAGGCUGGCCUGGUACAGAACAGGUGUGGCGGGUCCAGGCUUCAGAAGAGGUCGGGAAUUUUCCUUCCAUGGUCACUCGCUCUCCUAUCCCCAUCUCUGCUACUUGAAGAUGGAAAAGUAGAAUCAGCACACCCAGUGACCCUGGAGACAGAGGCUUGCAUCUAAUUUCUAGAUCAAUGGGUUCCUGUCUGGACUCCGUAUUAGCAAAUGUAAGGCUCUCUUGGUGCGAAUAUAAUCCUGUACCCUAGUUUAUCUUUCUCCCUCCAUUGGACUAGCUCCUCCUAAUCAAUCUUUAUCCGUUCCAUCCGUCCGAUAUGUUAGAAAAAGAAGGGCCAUCCAAGUUAUUCCUUUAAUGGCUACCUUAGGCUAUAACCUCCAGGCUUAGGUUGGGAGCAGGCGGACUGGCCACCUCUUUAACAUACAUUAAAGCUCUGUCAACAGAACUGCAAGGUUCAUUAAAAGAUAUAGUCCAAAGUCUGAUAAAAGUCCAAGACCAGGGCGGACAUGGUGGCUCACGCCUGUAAUCUCAGCACUUUGGGAGGCUGAGGCUGGCAGAUCAUUUGAGGUCAGGAGUUCGAGACCAGUCUGGCCAAUCUGAUGAAAUGCCAUUUCCAC